AGAGAGUAAAAAAGCAAUUUUCGAAAAGAAAAAAAAACUAAUGACAUUUUCGUGAAUAAUAUGAACUUGUGGGGUGAAUAGGGCAAAAAAAAAAUCCAAAAAAAAACAUGGAUUUGUUUUAGAUUUGACUUUGAGUUUUCACUCAAUUUUGCAAAUAGCCCUAACAUUAAUUAUAAAUAACAAAUUUAUCAUAUAAACUAAAUUAUUAGUAAGAUAAACUACAUAAACAACUAUAAUAAUGUUAAUUAAAUCAUAUAAAAUAAAUAUUAUACAAAUAAAUUCGUCUUAGCACUAAAUAAUAUUCAAUUAAUUUAUUUUAAAAAAUCAAUUUAAAACAAAAUCCGCGUCGUCCCCCAGGUCAUGAUCUAAACUAUCUUUAAAACAUAAAAC
Molecule: long non-coding RNA, 390 nt
Filed under: Brassica rapa (field mustard)
Lineage: Eukaryota; Viridiplantae; Streptophyta; Magnoliopsida; Brassicales; Brassicaceae
Description: long non-coding RNA (BRAP_LNC000371)
Source: RNAcentral